This is a long non-coding RNA of Neogale vison (American mink), 5321 nucleotides long. RefSeq lists it as uncharacterized. The record is from RefSeq and is a predicted model, not a curated record. Lineage: Eukaryota; Metazoa; Chordata; Mammalia; Carnivora; Mustelidae. The transcript has 4 exons.
UCCCACCUUUGUUUCACUUGUUCCCUCGGUCUGGAAUUCUUCGUCUCAGCCAAAUUCGCGUCAGAUCCUGUUGGCCCUUCCUGUUCUGGCCCAAAAUCUUUUUUGUAGAACUACAGAAAUGUAUAAAAAGAUAAACUAAAGCUGCCGUGUAAGGACCUCCCCCUGAAUGGCUGUGUGUAUGGAAGGGGGCGGACGCUCGGGUCGGGGGAUCCCAGUCGAAGCGGUUUCUUCCUCAAGGUGGAGUCGCUCCGGGCGCACCACGCAGACAGCGCACACAGCGUUUAUAUAUAAUGGUCUGUAUCAAUGAGUGGAUCAACUAGAAGCCAAAAGAAACAUGUGAGGGGACGUUAACUCAGAAUUCUUCCAGCUGGCUGACAGAGUUGGCUCACACUCGCCACCUCACUAAGACACUGCCCAACGGGAUCCAUUUGUUCAUAUGCUUGGAGAAAAACUUUCUCUUAGGGACAGGAAUAAGGUCUGGAGAAGUCGAUUCCAGAAGACAAAAUGCCCUAGAGGAAACAAGAGAGCACCAGCUCCCCGAGUAGUCAGUCGACUGCAAACCCCAAAACCGUAGCUCCUCCUUCGAGCCGGAGUCGAACCAGCGACCUAAGGAUGUCCACACAGAAAGCGCACUACAGUCCUCCGCUCUACCAGCUGAGCUAUCGAAGGGGGUACGGGUUUUGCCUCUCUAGAGUCACCUAUUCAGGACACCUACAAAUAGGGGCGCGGGAGAAACAAUCUAGGGAGGUGUGGACAUCGCAGGGUCACAAAGCCAGCCUCUGAGAAAGCCCCGCCCGCAUUUCUGGGGACAACCCUUCUAGAGCCGGAUUCCCUGACCGCAAGGAGGGGCUUCCAAAGCAGGACCAACCCGUGGGCUCCUCACAGGCACCCCCAGACCCGGUGCAUCACGAGGCCGCCCGGGGCUGGGGGCAUCUGCUCGCCCGGGGGCGGUUGGCUGUCGUGACCGCGCAGCCCGGGACCUCCCGCCGUGAUGUGUGCGGCGUGGAAACCGCCAACUGGCCCCGAAGAACUAGGGAGUGCGGCGGUGGGACACGCAGCUCCGCCCGCGCAGCUCGGCGCCAGGCGGAGAGGGCGGGCCUCCCGGGUCUGGCUGGGGCCUCUUCGCUUUUCCUCACUUCCUGUGCUCGCCUCGGAAUCCAACCGCUUCUGCACAGGCGAAGCGCAACUCUUCCGUGAAUAGUCCACAGACUCGGGGAAGAAGAGGAUGUGGAGCAUAGCACAUAAGGGUAACCCCAGUGUUUCCGCGAGAAAGUACUUCUGGAGAAAAUAUCUUAAGGUGUUUCAAAGAGGAAGCCGCAAUUCCUCUGAGCCGAUAACAAACUUAGUGACCCAAGUCUCGGCCUUCGUUUUCCCGUUGGGGUAGUCAAGUGUUGGAAAACUCGCGGUCACAGGAAACCUUGCGGAACAGCCUACUCCUCCCGAACGCCUCCUCCCUUUCCGGAGGGGAGCUUGUUCAGGGUUCCAAACCUGUGCUGAGCGGGGCACUGGGCCGGACUCCCAUGGUCUACCCCCACCCCCGCGCGCCGCCCCCACCGCCCUCACCGCCCUCAGCCCUUCUCGGACUCCGGCCGUCCUCCGGAAGGGCUCUCGCGGCGGGUCAGUACAGCCCGGGCGUCCUCGGACGCACGGAGCGCUUCCUGCAGCUUCUAAUGGACUCCGCCACAUUCCAGGCAGCAGACCCGCACUUGCGCAGUAGCGCGUAAGAGGAAACGGAUCUAUUCAGCUUGGUUUACUCAGGUAGUGGGACUGCGGCGAGAAGACACACGAACCGAAUUUCCACAAGGGUUAAAAUUACCGGGGGGGAGGGCGGGAGGUUUUAUUUAAAAGAGUAAGAAAUAAGGGAUAAGGCCCCAGCGAGAUUUGAACUCGCGACCCCUGGUUUACAAGACCAGUGCUCUAACCCCUGAGCUAUAGGGCCUCGUGAACUAUUUGUUUGCUUCUUUCUUUGAAAAGGAACGUUUUUUAACGCUGGGCCUUUGUUAGGGGAAUUAAAUGUAGGAAGUGGACAAAAUCCGAAUUUUGUUCCAAUCUAUUUACUCUUGGAAUUUGGUCUGCACGCCCUUGCUAGGGAUAACGCAAUAUGAGGGCCGGUGAUACCAGACACCACUAUUUUAAAGAUCGGAGAAAUCUGCCUAAACCAACACAUUACAACCCAGAGUCCACCUCAGACCUCCCCGAGCCCCCUGGCCGCAGUCUAAAAAUUAAGAGUGGAAACGCGAAGUAGAGGAAGUUGACGACCACAGAUCUCUCGGCCUUCCCACUGAUUUUCUCCUUGACUCCGGAUAGCCACCAACUUUCAACCUCCUUCAAGUUUUUUCUGUGUAUGGACCUUCCGUACAGCUCGAGCCUCUGCACUAGGAACAAGGCAUCAGAUACGGUCUUUAACUUGAAGUCCCUGUCACAGUCUUGUGGAAUAAGAGAAAUUUAGUUUUUAUGAAAGAGAAUAGUGAAAAGUAGCUGUGCCAGCUGUGAGCGGGUGGUGGACCGUGCCAAGCUUCGCAGAUUUGCAGGGCCGGUGGAGCACUAUCAGCCCAAAAGGAUCCUAAAAAUAGUUAUUGGCUGGACAUUUCCUGAGCCUUCAAGAUGAAGUUAAACCCAAGCUUCUCAGGAGAAGUUGAAAGCUCAUUCUUUCCAGUUUUCCUUGCUAAGCUUAGCUGACUUCUGCUGAGCUCCAUAACAGUUAUUGGAAGUGGGAGGAUAGAGCAAAAGAGGCACAUCAGCAUAUUGGCGUUCUGUACUUUCCACUUGGUUGCAGUCAAAAAGAGCAAGAAUUCUUUUCAUAUAAGGUGCAUGGAAAUCCAAGUUUGGUGGGACCUAAGAAACGCUCAGGUAUGGAGAACUGAGGCGUGACUACUAUUCUCUGUAUCAGGAGGAGAAGAGAAUCCGGGGAGGAAGCCUCUGCAGACUCCGCUCCGCCAACACUAGGGAGCGGGCAUAGACUGGCACCGCCUCUCUGAGGUUGGGUCUCAAAGAGCAAAGGGAACCAGCAGUCAAGCUUUUUUCUUGAUCCUUUUAACUCACGUCCCACGCUUCCUGGAGGGCCAAGACUUCUUUUCUGGCUUCGGAACUGAAAAGUAUCAAACUCCAAAUUUAGCGCUGACUUCAGCUUUGGUCUUCUUUACUAGCCCAGCACGACCUUUUACCCCCCCUUACCCCCACCCCAAAGCUAUCUGAAGACAAAAGGAAUUCAUUCCUCCGUGGCGUAAACACUUGUUGAGCGCUUUCUGGGCGCCAGGAGGAAGCUGGCGCGACCCCUGACUUCGCAGUGCGCUUAAGUUCUGGAUCCCAAGGGCUUCGCUUCCGGAGCGGAUAGUUUUAAAGAACUUUCCCUUCAGUUUCUGGAGUGAGAAGAGCUGUUCCGGUUGGGCGGAUUCAGGUUGGGUCCAAUGGAGCGGAGGAGGAGGGGAAGAAUCUCUUUCGUAGGGUCCUUUGGCAAUAUCUACACUCUUGGUCUCAGGUUGGGGGUUCAGAAGACAACGCUGAAAAAACCGGCAGAGAGAUAUAGCUAGGAAGUGCAGGCAAACCUCCCCUGUAGGUUUGGUAGCGUGGCCGAGCGGUCUAAGGCGCUGGAUUUAGGCUCCAGUCUCUUCGGGGGCGUGGGUUCGAAUCCCACCGCUGCCAGGGUUUUGUUUCUAACCGUAAAUAGUCGUAGCCUUCAUCUUCCCUUCAAAUAAAAGUGUAGAUUCCUGCGGCAUUUGGCCAAAUCUCAAAACGCAGUAUCUGAGUUUUCUGAACACUUGGCUCUAGACUGACGGAAUGGGACUAGUGAACGAGCGACUCAGUUUACCGGCGUGGAGCUCGUAAGUCAAGCGGAUCUCUAGAAGACACACUCCUCCGGAUCCUCGACCUCCCUUCUGUUUAAGGGAGAGAAUAGGUGUUGCUUGCCAAAGAGAUGGCAUUUAACCUGGGGCACUCUAGAGAGUGGAGAUAGUUUUGGAAUCUUGACAUAACCUUGAAAGCGCAGUAAAAGUUAAGGUGGGGCAUAGAGGGGAUCAGGUGAGCCUUUGUCACACCGUUUGCUCCUAAAAGUUAACUCGAAAAUAUUCGGCAAUCCUAUUAAGAGCUGAAGUAACAAAUUCAGACAGUCAAACCCAGCACCCAAAGUGGUACCUGGUGCUUCCUCCCAGACCCUUAAUGGGUCACCUAUAGGGUAUUCCUUCUUAUUUCCCUUUCCACUUGCCUCUGGUGUCCACACAGCUACUACAUCACCCCUUCCCUGCUUCCCACCCCCUUUCUGCCUCUCCCUCCAAGCCCACCAUAAGGACAGCAAAGAAGAUAGGCAGGAAGAUAAUCAUUGAAGGAGGCAGUUGCUCACCAGGUCAGGGAAGUGAUUCAAUGACCAGUCUUAGCCAGGCAAGGAAAAACACCCGGACUCCUACCUAGCCGGAAAAGAGUCCUAGGAUGGGUUUGAAAUCAAACCAAAUCAUAAAACCAUAAAGAAUUAUGGCUCUUUAAGAAACAUUCUCACUUUCUGUCCUUUGAGGGCAAUGUCUUUCCUGCCCCAUGUAUAUGUACAGCCUUUGGUACCCAGAGGAUUAACUGGGCAUGGUUUGGAUACAUAUAUACAGAUUUGAAUACAUAUUGCUUACAGAUUUAUGUUCAGGCACUGUCCCCUCCUUAAGACUUCAAGAAGGAGUAAUGGGCUCAUUCUAGUAAAUGGUGAUGGAACCUGACUGGCCUGUGCCCUAAAGGAGGCAAGAGUUCAGACUGUCCAUGUGGCUUCUUACUCUAGUCAACCUCAACAAUGAUGACAUUUUAGACUGGAUAAAUCUUUACUGAGGGGGUUGGGGGUCAUGUGUAUUGUAGGAUGUUUAGUAGCAGUAGUAUUGUCCCAGUUAUGACAGGAUAUCAGUAAUAUUGUCCCAGUUAUGAAAACUGAAAAUGUUUCCAGGCAUUAUCAAUGUCCCCUUGGACAUUGGAGGCAAAAUCAUCCUUAAAGACUGAGGGUCCAACUGUCAUGUCCCACUGUGUGGCUGGUCUUCUCAAUACCCCAACAAAACUUUGAUGGGCAAAGUUUUCUAAUUUUGUUGAAGUACAAUUAAUCAUGUUUUUCUUUUAUGGAUCAUGCUUGUGGUGCUGCAUCUAAAAAAAAUCUUUCCCCGAUGCAAGGUGUCAAAGAUUUCAUUCUAAAUAUUUUGUGGUUUAGAUUUAUGAUCCAUUUUGAGUUCAUUUUUUAUGUGAAGUAAGGAUCAAAAUUGUUUUUUAACAUUUGUUGAAAAGCCUCCCUUUCUAAACAGUACAUUUAUCAUGAGCACUCAGUAAUGUAUAGAAUUGUUAAAUCACUAUAUUCUACACCUGAA